Molecule: ribosomal RNA, 500 nt
Filed under: uncultured bacterium
Lineage: Bacteria
Description: partial 16S ribosomal RNA
Rfam family: Bacterial small subunit ribosomal RNA
Source: RNAcentral
AUUGAACGCUGGCGGCAUGCCUUACACAUGCAAGUCGAACGGCAGCACGGGAGCAAUCCUGGUGGCGAGUGGCGAACGGGUGAGUAAAGUAUCGGAACGUGCCCAGUCGUGGGGGAUAACGUAGCGAAAGUUACGCUAAUACCGCAUACGAUCUAUGGAUGAAAGCGGGGGAGCGCAAGACCCCGCGCGAUUGGAGCGGCCGAUAUCAGAUCAGGUAGUUGGGGGGGUAAAGGCUCACCAAGCCGACGAUCUGUAGCUGGUCGGAGAGGACGACCAGCCACACUGGGACUGAGACACGGCCCAGACUCCUACGGGAGGCAGCAGUGGGGAAUUUUGGACAAUGGGCGAAAGCCUGAUCCAGCCAUGCCACGUGCAGGAUGAAGGCCUUCGGGUUGUAAACUGCUUUUGUACGGAACGAAAAGGUUUGGCCUAAUAAGCUGAGCUCAUGACGGUACCGUAAGAAUAAGCACCGGCUAACUACGUGCCAGCAGCCGCCGUAA